Molecule: ribosomal RNA, 305 nt
Filed under: uncultured bacterium
Lineage: Bacteria
Description: bacterial SSU rRNA
Rfam family: Bacterial small subunit ribosomal RNA
Source: RNAcentral
AGAGGCCUACGGGGCGCAGCAGUGGGGAAUACUGCACAAUGGGGGGAACCCUGAUGCAGCGAUGCCGCGUGGAGGAAGAAGGUUUUCGGAUUGUAAACUCCUUUUAUCAGGGACGAUAACGACGGUACCUGAAGAAAAAGCUCCGGCUAACUACGUGCCAGCAGCCGCGGUAAUACGUAGGGGGCAAGCGUUAUCCGGAUUUACUGGGUGUAAAGGGAGCGUAGACGGCGCGGCAAGUCUGAAGUGAAAGGCAGGGGCUUAACCCCUGAACUGCUUUGGAAACUGCCAUGCUAGAGUGCUGGAGA